Long non-coding RNA from Gadus macrocephalus (Pacific cod), 13032 nucleotides. RefSeq lists it as uncharacterized. The record is from RefSeq and is a predicted model, not a curated record. The transcript has 2 exons. NCBI's taxonomy places the organism in Eukaryota, Metazoa, Chordata, Actinopteri, Gadiformes, Gadidae.
UUCUGAACAUAAACAACGCUUAAUUGUUGUCGAAUGAACUAACCUAUAUGCUUGUGUUACUGUGUGUAGUUAAAUAUGGCAGCAGCUAUCCUGAUACGUGUUGUGUUAUGUGCAUUGCAGAUGUCCAGUAAGCAAACCAAGUUCCAUCUCUAUGCUCAAUGUCUAGUAUUUUGAUGUAAACAAUAUUUUGCUAGCAAAGCCUAUAGUUUUCCGUGACCCCUUUCAUUCGCUGCGACCCAUCGGUCUUUCAGGGUGACUGUAUUAGAAAAAAGUACUGGAAAAUCAAUUGUUGGCAGUUCAAAUCGCUAUUGUGUUCAAGACAUUAGCUGACGCUACUGUAGGGAUAGUCAAGAAGGAUUCCAGCCCCCUUGUUUGCGCUAUUCCAUUUGAAUGUAUAAUUAUCUUGGUGCAGUAUGAAUUGCACAGAUCUUCAGUGGUACAUGAAUUGAACGAGGGCAUCGUGGUGUUUCUUUGUACUGUUGUCACUGGGGUACAACACUGGCCUACAUGUUUACAGUGCUUGUUGACAUAUCGUUUGGCUGGCUGAGGAGACGCUGCCUUUGUUCUGACUAGUGAUGUGGGCUCGCAGGUACAGCGCCUGGCGCUUUGUUUAGUGAGAGUGAUGCACAUCAGGUUGGUUUAAGGGUCUGCGUCUAGAAAACUUGCCUUGUCAAGCAGCUCACAUGUCAGUUUUUCUGUUCAUUUUCAUCUUCAAAAUGGCCACCUCAUCUUACUGUAUUUUAAUGUGCAUAGGCAUGUUAUGGAGGCGUAAUUACUAUGGUCACACUGAGUUGUUUUCCUCCUGUUUAUGGCAAGGCAGAUGUAAAACGUUAUUUAUGGAAUACAGCAUUUUACAUGGACUGUUUUGUAAGUAUUAUUGUAGUAUUAUUUUUAUAUAUCUAAUUGCCAACACUACUACUUUUUUUUCAGUGUGUUUUAGUCUUCUUUCAACUAGGAACAUUAGAAAGGAAAUUCACAACAAUCGACCAAAGGGCCCCUGAACAGUGUUCUAGAACAGCAGUACAAACAACAAGUUGUGUUUUUGUCCCAGCAUCACAGUGAAUGGAUUGGAUAGCCUGUUCCUAGCUGGAAACCACAAGUAGGAGGGACUGUGUAACAGCUGACGGAAUGGCUGUAAUAGUCAGUCAAAUAUGACCAGAGAGUGGCCAGCCAGCACAAGGGAAAGGCCUUAUGGACCGAAUGAUUCAUUGUUGAAAAAAGGAUUAGCUUCAGCCACUUUUUGUAUCAGUUAUUUUAAGUCCUCAUGUGUAAUUUGCCUGUUUUGUACGCCUUUUUAUCCUCCCAAUAAAACCCCUUCCCAAUCUUUUAGCCAGAAUUAGGAUUGCGGUGCUAUUUUCAGAGUUCUUGUAUAACCAGUUUGAGCCAGUCUAUACAUUGACUGUUCUCCAUUUGGUCGAUAAUUUUUUUGGCCUGCUGAUUAUAUCAUUUCUAGUUUUGGCUUUUAGCAAUCCUUAUUUGAGAAAGCAGGUUUUUUUUUCUAAUAUCUGUUCCCUGUUCAACCAAAACACUAAUUCCCUCACUCGCACGCACGCACACACACACACACACACACACAACCCAGUCUAGUAUGUGCAACGGCUGCCAGUGGUCUUAGUGGAACACAGAGCAAGUGUUGUGCAAAGGAUUGCAGCAUAUACACCCAGAUACAUAGAUGGACAGACGACAGUUCCACAUUUUGCUCAGCUGUAGCCUUUUGGCUCUUUCCUUUGUGGCUCUCGUUCCCUGACUGGCGAGUGCAUGUUUCUCGUUGGCCACCUGUUGGGUUGAGAACCGGUUGGUUCCAAAGUUGAGUGAGUGACCAUGAGAGCACACUAGCAGAUUGCAUUUUUUAGGAGUUUAUAUUUUGGUUUUGAUCCAAAGAUUAUCAGCGAUGAUCAAUAUGUAUGUGGGUGGGUUAUUUAACCAGCCUAUUGUUUACUACUGUGUAUAGAUACAGAGCGAUCUGGCCUCCAAUUUCAGGAACCCAGGGCCCUAGAGAGAUAUUUAUCCCUAGAGGGGGCACUGUAGCUAACAAGGCGCACACACACACACACACACACACACACACACACACACACACACACACACACACACACACACACACACACACACACACACACACACACACACAGGUCUGCACCCACACUCAUUCACAGUGUGGGGGCCGGUGUCCUUCGACAUAACUAAAAGCCCAAACUACGACCAUAGCUUUCAAACAGCAGUGGCUCUUCCCUCUUGAGUUAACAGCCAAACCAAUGCCCAUCAUUUGCUGGGAGGGCCACAAGAGACCUAGGAAAACUGGAGCAAUGCUCAAUCAGAAAAAUAAUGUCAUGAUGUCCUUGUCCUCGACUAGUCUGGCAGCACUAGGUAAACAAUUGAAUGGGCUUGUAGCACGAUUCAUUGUGCAAGUUAGGUCUAUUCAACUACUUCUUUUUGAGUAACACAUUUUGAAUAGAAAAUGUGUCACUCAAAAGGAAGGGGAAACAGAAAAAAAAAUUAAUAACUGGAGCACUUGUGAACAUUAGAAAUAUUACUAAUAACCUUAAUAUUGUGCAUAAAGAGUUUUUUUUCACAAUAUAUUUGUCUCACAUAGCAAAUAGGGCAGUCAGUUCAUUAAUUUCUGCAUAUACUUUCACCUGUAUAAUUAUAUUAUAUAGUGUACGUAUUUUUUUAAUCAAUUAAUCUCUACACCACAAAAGAUGAAUACAAAACUAAUGUCAAGAGAUUGCUCCUUUUAAGUUUCAUUCAUUUAAGUCUUAUCUUUUUCAUUCUUUCAUUCUUAUUAUUCCAAUGAACACUCAAAAUAUAUGACCAAAGCCAUCAAUCAAUCUAGCAACAACUGAUCUGUUAACUGUUAUUAACAUUGAACAGAAAUGGCAUCUUCUCUAAAACAAAGAAUCUUACGUGCAUGUACAACUCCGCAUCAUUUUUCAGACUGACCAAAUGAAUCACCUCCUCAUCAGUCAAUACAUCUUAAAGGACAGCUAGCAAAAAGUCUUUCACUGUUUCAGAACCUGUAACGUUUUAUUUAUUUUUUAUUUACCAAUAAUCCAUGCAACACAGAGUGGCUAUGUUACUCCUCUGUAGCACUUAAUGGCGCCAAGCCAUUAAGUGCUACCCUCUGUUAGUAAUUCCCUCUGUACUUUCACUUUGAUUUGACGAGCAUCCAAGCCCAUCGGAUGUGUUCCAUUGAAGUCAGAGUGAUGUGUCUGACGCAGUGCCUUUGCAGGUUUUGUUAUUUUCGCGAUUGACUUGUUGCAGAUCAAACCUAUAGGCUUUGGUCCAACGAUACGAUAUAUUUCACAGUCCACUCCUCAUUGAACGGGUGGUUUUCAUUGUGUACCCUAGGCCUAUUCAAUGUGGACAUGAUGGUAUAGCUCUCAAACUUUUUGCCACAUCAGAGACAGAUGUUGGAGUGUGCAAGGUCAUGGGGGCGGGACAACGUGGAUGAAACGGCUUCCUACUGGCUCUCGUUUUUGCUCAGAAACAGCUUUUUCUUCGGGGAAAUAGGUUUCGUUACUCGGCCUGGUGUAAGUGCUUGUCCUAUGGCCCUCGUUGAUUCUUCAAAGGCGCGCUCCCUGUACGAAUGCCAUUGCACACUAAGCCCCUUGGAAUUUGAGAACAGGUAGAUUACAAAAGGCUUAAGCCUAUUGUGUGUGAUGAGACAAGCUCUUAUGUUACCGGUGACCUCGUGUCUAUAGGUCGUUGUCGCGCAGAAAUUGUUUUGCGGAAGUAUAUCCCGUUUGAGUACGGUAUAUAGUGCUGGUGUAAAGGGAAUAGAAAACAUUUAAUUUGACAUAGUGAGUCCCCAAAUAUACAACCAACCCACACAUGGAACCGUAAUACAGACAAAAUCAAUUGUUUAUUAUCAUGGAAGCUAUGUGUCUCUGUAUUAAUUCAUACAUUCAGAUAGCCACGACCAAAAGAAAGGUAAAUUUUUUACUGAAUUCCGCCUUCCCCCGUUCACCGUUCGGAACCAAGAUAGAGCACAGAUGGUGGCUAGGUGAAUAAAUCACCGCACAUAUCUCGCAUGUUCUCUCUCGCCAGAGAAGCCAGAGGUGUGAGGGUGAUCCCUCAACGCGACAGCUCAUUACACCGUGUUCGUGUAGGGUAUUUUCAUUGUUGGGUCUUCUUUUUUAAUGCAAAAGUUAUGUUUGCUCUGUUGUGGCCGAAAGGCCCUGAAAAAGACACAGGUUAGUGAAGCCUGUUCCAGAAAGACGAGCUGGAGGGUUUGUGUGUGGGAGUGGGUGGGUGUGUGCAAUGUAUGUGUUUCAGUCUGCUAGCAUGUACCCUGACUAUUGCCUAUUCGACCACUUAGCUUUCUCCCGUCCACUCUGCUACAACAUUCCAGUCCUUUAUGCACAGACUAGCCAAUCCAAGGCAUUAUCUCCCACUGGCCCCGGACUACAUCCCUAUUGUUCACCCUGGUUCUGGCAUCCGGACAGCAUUAACAGUUUAUACACUGCUGUGUUCAAUGCUACUCUUGUACAAGAGCACCCCCCCGUUGACCUCAUCACAGUGUUCUGCUGCUGCAUCAGUCCGAAAUAGCCCAACGCUACGCCGGUUUUAACGUUGUCGUUGUACGUAGCAUGUAGCAUGGCGUGUGCUAGAAUCAACCAGAAGGGUAGACUUAACUGUAGUAUCUCUAGGGAAGUGGCUAGCGGCUGAACCUCAAAGAUGUUUGGGUGUAGCAAAGGAGAUGAGGAUAAUAGGGAAUGCUCCAGGCUAGAGAUACAGCUGUGAUGGGCGGGUUGUAACACAAUGAGCUUUCAUCGUUGGCGUGGCCAAUGUAUUCCUAUGGAGUUGAUCGAAUUUUCCAAGUUCAAAGUUCAAACUAUUUCAACUUUGACCUCUCAAACCGCGUCCAUUGAGAUUACAGCUUUGUCUGAUGUUCUAAAACCAACUGCAUCCAAAUUCCAACAGCAUUUUUAAUUCUGAAACUGAAAUAGAAUAGUUUGAUGAGAUAAAGGUACUAAAGGUGCUGUCAGUUGGCCAAAGCUGACUUCUAGGGCUUUAUUAGAUUGUGCACAUCAGGUGUUGACCGCUUAAAGAGGAAGAGAGCUGGAACAGUUUGCCAUGAUGGUGAGGAUGACACAUUUUCAAGGGUCUUAUGUUGUGACCUUUUCAAAUAUUCCUCUUGUAUCUUUUAUGUUGAUUUCUUACUCGCUCUGAAACCCAAAUCACAUUUUUAGCUUUGUGGUCAUCUAGACCCAAGGUUAAUUUUUAAUCAUUUAGAGGAACUUGAUAAGGCCUUAUCAAAGGAAUAGCCCAGUUAUACUGAGCUGCUGCGGCCAUUAUGGGUAUAAUGCAUAUUCUUCGCAACAAUAAUGAUUUUUUCUCAUGUUUAGAUAUACAGUACAUAAGUGAUGCUAAGCAUUGGGGAUUUAUUUGCUCAGCAUUGUCUAACCUGACUUAUGUUAGAUUAAUCGACCCACAUACUAUUUAUUCCAAAAUUCAACCUAUCAAAAUUCAAAGUACAACAUACAAAGUAGUUUCCUGGUGGAUGUUAUUCAUUUGCAUAUUGUUUAAAGCUGGAAGGUAGAUGCACUUUUACAAAGGUUUUAUUUUUUUGAUCGUGUUUACAGAUGAUACAAUAAUCUGAUCAAUGGUGGCUAGGAGCUCUGUCUGAAUGAAUCGGCCCCUGGCGGCUUGACUGACAGCUCCGUGGCCCCCGGGACAGUAAGAGGUUGGGGGCCCUCGCGGUUAAUCCUUCAAUACAAAAGAUGAAGCCGCACACACGCAUGACUGAGUUCCCUCCGAAAAACAGAUGGACUGAAGUUCCUGUCGUUCUCCUGUGAUUCUUUUGGCUUCCCCCCCUUGUAACACCAGGGAGCUCAACUGGCUAAUAUAGCCGGGAUGGAUUGUUCCUGCAGUAAAAAAAGAAAGAAAAUUCCCUUUCAGAGCUGCCAUUGCGCGGUGGAUGAUGAAGAGAGGAUAAAGAGCAGAGUAAGGUUCACACUGGGCGUGGCUGCCUAGUCUUGAUGUAUGGCGGCUGACUCUUAUCCAAAGCGAACCAGAAGAUGGUACAGUAUAUCCACCCCCCCAAUAAUGUUCUUUAUCGGACAGUCUGCCUCUGUGAGGCUCUCAUCUGCGUCGGGUUGAUUAGUCAAGGAGGUGUGUGUGUGUGUGUGUGUGUGUGUGUGUGUGUGUGUGUGUGUCUUGUUAGCUCCAGUGGUGCUUCAGGGACAAGUAUCUAUCUAGAGAAACUGUUGCUCGAAUGGUAAUCUUUCACCCUUAACUAAAAUCAACCGCACCCAAAGUGUGGAGGAGUCCCACGGCGCUCCAAGUGUCUAAACACUGAAGUGCAGCAGUCAAAGUCGUGCUGAUUUAAUCAAAACGGCCGAAUCCUUUCCUCCUUUGAUGCAUGAUGGCCUGGAUCUUUGGCCUUUGACCCUGCUCUAUUUGUGUGCUUGCGUGCGCCUUUUGCUGUUGUUAUGCUUGUUUCUGUUCGUUUGCUACGGGUUUAUCCUAUACAUGAGUCACUUCACUAUGUAAUGUGUGUGUCUGAAAUGUGACCUGAUUCGUGGAACAACAAGCGUUUCUCUGGUUUCUAUGAGCUGGGGCAGCCAAAUGGCAUUUUUGCAAGGUGAUUAUCCGAGAUUGUAAAAGGAAGCUUUAUUCAUGUGUGUUCUGUGAACGAUGUUGUGAUGGUGUUGGUUGAAAUAGCUGGUCCCAUGGUGGAACAGUCUCAAAGGGGAUUGGUAUCCACGCGUGGGUGGCUGUGUUUGUUCAUGUGUCAGUGUCAUGUUGUUGUACUCCAGAUAGACAACAUGUAAUGCAAAUGUUGUCUUUUUUAUGCGUAGAGAGGCCGUUAAUCCUUGUGUUUUGAAGUGUACCCUAGCGUUGGGUUCAAUUAUUUGUUUAUUCCUUCAGCACGGAACGGGAAGCAAAUAGGGACAGGAAUCGUUAGGGACCUCGCAAUGAAAUGUUCAGAUUUCUGAUUGCGUAUAACGAUAGCUAUAACGAUGCAAUCGUUUUAGUAUUUAGUGUUGUUUUAUGUCAGCGUUUGUGGUUUAAUUAUUUAUUUUUUAUAUAAAACUAUUUUUGACUGAACCUGUCAAAAGUUUUGCGGAGGCAAAGAAUACGGAUUCUCAAAAUAACAGUUUUUUAAUUCUUCUUCCUGUUACAUCGAAUGACUAUGAAUGAAAGCUGUACGUCUUCCACCGCCCAGUGAGUUGGGUUUGCUUAACGUCUCAAAUGAAUUUACAUAUUUCAAUGAGUCAGGCCUCUCUGGGGCAGUAUGUCUAUUGAUAUGGAAAGCAUGCUCUGGGUUUCUGGGACUGUUCACACAGGGACACCGCGCACCACGGCACCAACUCACCACGGCUUUCAGGAACUUCAGUUAUGUUUAUUAACCUCGUCAACGAUCCUCCCAACCAGGCUUCUCUAGCAGAGACUGUUAUUUUGAGUGGUCCGUCGAGACUUGCGAGUGUUGAGUUAACGGACCCCCACAUCUCCAGUUGUCAGUCAUUGUUCUUCAAGUUCCUAAAAUGGUGAGAAGUCCUUGAGGAGGUGGCUUUUGUGUGUCCUGAAACGACAAUGUCCUGAGCUGUUUCGAGUGCACACUGCGACCAUUGUGUUGCUACAGCAGCGGCCCUCGAGCCCGAGUCGUGUUUACAGAAAUAAAUCCCGUGCAGGAAGAGCUACUCGACGCUCUUUCUUGCCUCCCACGGUGGUUCCCCCGGUUUCCUUAGCGUUCUCCGACACCGACUCCUUCGCCGCAUGAAUAUAACCAGCUGAUCAGCUAUUGAAGCUUAAAGGUGAUGCAUUAUACCACCAGCUGUGCGCACGAUUAGCCGUCGCGCUAACAUUAGACGUCGCUCGUCUCGCCGUCAUACAUCUAGGUGGACACGCCCACUUGUGAUGUCAGAAGAGACCAAUUUUCAAAACGGCUUGUGACGGCUAAUCACACUCACACCUGGUGGAGACCUUUUGAAGGUUUCUUAAACCUCAGUGUUUGGUGGUUGUGUGUCUUUGUCGAUCGAUGACGAUAGCGGUGCGAUAAGGGACGGCGAUCAUGCAGCAUACUGUAUCGGGGAGUAUUUCAUGGUUAACCGGACCGUCAGGCUGAGUAGGAUGACUCAUCUGAAACAACAAGCAACAACAAAAACAAAAACAUAUAUGUUUUUCAGUAGAAACGGUCUUGUUUCGACUGUGUCAGAAAUAGACGAAUUGCUUUGGAAAGAGGAUGAGAACUGAUCCAGUGAAUGAACAGAACACAAUAAUGUCUUUGCUCCUUUCUUUAACUUUUUGGUCCAAUGUCACUUUGUUCCUGGUAGUUGUUUGUCCUUUACAUGUCCAACCCUCUGAGGCUAGAAAAGUGAUAAAAGCCAUGCAAGCUACUGCAAUGUGUACAAUAUAUUGCACAAUACAUGGAAUUUAUAUCACAGCAUAUUGCAAAAGCUGAUAAACACAAAACACAAAUAAAAUAUUUGGGACCUUCAAUCGAUAUUUGUAUUCAAGCCAGUAAGAAACAGUAGAAGUUUUAACGGGCGAGGUUUGACCUAGUCGGGUCUUCCAAAUGUCGUGGAUCAGAGGUCCAUUGUCCUUGCAAUGCUUAACUCUGGGACUCCAUUUGCCCAUGUCUAGCAAUAAUAAUGAAUCCAUUCCAUACACUAUUAGGGUUAUUUCUACUGUGGGUUUUAUUCAAGGCAUAUUUUAUGGGCCCUUUUUAUGGGCCGGAGAUUGGAUUGAAGGGUGCGAGCGAUUUUCAUGAAGCAUAGGUUCGAAGGUUGGAAUCAAACCUGAUUUGCAACGAGGUGCGUGGUCUGUGUCGUUAAAGCGUGGGUUGGUAGUUACUGAGAUGCCUCGUCAACGGUUCUCGUAUUUAUUUAUUUUCGUAGUAAUUUUGCUUAACCUUAAUAGGUCGUGCUUCUUGUUUCAGAUGAGUCACCUACUCAGCCGGACGGCCCGGUUAACCAUGAAAUACUCCCCGAUACUGGCCCUUGUAUGUUCCUGGAAAGAUUAGGCCAUCCCAGAGUUUAGUCAAACCAACACAAAGCUGGAGGCGAGGCGCACAGGAGCUGACACACUUUCUCUUCAUUCGGGAACGGAGUGCGGUUGUGUUGGCUGUCCCGCUACCACUGAGUCCACCUGCGUUCACUUAUCAGGCCCGGCCUGGUACAGCCGGGAUGGGUGAGGGGGGGGGGGGGGGGGGAUCAGCAAGCCCCGCAGCACGGGGCAAGGGAUCACAGCCCAAUGUCUGGAUCGCAUUUGGAGCCGCUUCACCUCGCUAUGUGUGUAGCCUUGGCUUGGAGAGCAACAGUCGGUCUUAAUUCUGCCUGCAGCUUAAGCUUUUUUGACCUAGAGCUCACUUUACAUAAGCAGCAGCAACUGGUGUGCAUACUGCAUAUCACAUAGAGUUUGCACGUCUCGGUACAUUUUAAAUCCCUGGAGACUUUGUCGUUCCUAGCUUUCGCUGUUGAAUUUGUGUCAACAUUUCGGUGGUUAACGCAUCGUUUUUUCCUCAGCACUUUAGGUGGCUGUUUUUAUUGUUGUUAUUAUUAAUUAUUGAGCACCCUUGGAGCUUUGAGAUGAAUGCUGGGGAGCAGAGAGAGCUGGAGAAGAGUAGGUCAAUGGGGGUCUAAGGGGGGGGGGACGUUUUGAGCUGAUUUAGGCCCAAUCCCAUUUCUACCCCUUACCCCUUCAAAGCAAGGGGGAGGGGUAAGGGGAAGGGGUAAGGGGUAGAAAUGGGAUUGGGCCUUAAUCUCCCUCCCCACAGACCGGCUACCCUCUGAGUCCUGUAGCCCAGGACAGUUGCUGUGCUUCUCCAGCAGCCUGGAAUCAUCUGAGACGUCAGACUUGCUCGGCGUAGGAGUCUCCGUGAUGACCGCACGCCACAUGUUGUUAAAACACGCACACACAUACACACGCGCGUGCACUGUAGUCGUGUGUGUGCACACACAUACACGCAGACACACACACAUUGGAAGUUAAAUGCACGUAAUGUAUGUAUUGUUAACCCUUUCAUAUAUUUGAAGAACAUAUAUGCUGUGCGCAAAGACAUAGGGCUGUAUAUUGCUUGGAUUUUACACACAUACAACCACAGUUUAAACACACUUAUUUCAUUGAUUGAAGACACAACCAGCCUUUUGGAAAGUAUGUCUUUUAAAAAUGAAUCAGCUCAGAGAGGUAUUUCGCCUGACAGACAGACAGACAGACUCAUUCAUUCAUUCAUUCACUCACUUUCUCACACUCGCACACAGAGCAAGUCGAAUAUAAAGCUUAGAGACAAAGAUGUUGGUGGUGCUAGUCUUUAACACUUUCCCCGUUUCGGGGAUAGAAAGCGUUUCUCUUUUCACCUUUUUCCUUUUGUCUAAUGGAGUUUCCACAGAGGUCUGUCUGCUCUACCUCUUUAGAUGCGGGUGCCCGUCUUGGGUAUUUUCCUUUGAUAGAGAAAACCCUUCAGUGGUCUCACCCUGUGGCUGGCUGCUGUUUUCUCUUCGCCUUUCAUCUGCGAGACCUUUUCAUUGUGCGCCGUUCGCCCAGGGACUCUCCAAGAGUGUGAGUGUGUGUGUGGGUGGGGGGGGGGGGGGGGGGGGGGAGAGAGAGAGAGAGAGAGAGAGAGAGAGAGAGAGAGAGAGAGAGAGAGAGAGAGAGAGAGAGAGAGAGAGAGAGAGAGAGAGAGAGAGAGAGAGAGAGAGAGAGAGAGAGAGAGAGAGAGAGAGAGAGGUAUAUGACUUGCAGCUGUUAUGGCAGAUGUGCCUUUCAAAAAGGUCAUAAUCACUUCAUUUCUAUUUGUAUUAUCAUUUUUCAUCAUUUUUUAUUUGUAUGAAUCAGAAAAUGUACAGCUGGCCCAAAAUACAUUGGCUAAUUACAGAAGGUAACUUGUGUAAUGUUGCUGCUGAAUUAAAAGAAAACAAGUGUCUACCAAAGACAUCGUUGAGUGGAUGAAAUCUGUGAGGCUUCAGCCGCAGUUGGCAGACGACAAGGUACCGGCACUUGCUUCUGGAAAAGCAAAUGUGUAUUCUCAAUUCAUGGUGUGUAAACAUUUUGUCUUGCUACUAAGCAGAAGGUCUGACGUCUUCUGUGCUGAUAGCUGAAUAGCUGUGUGUGUGUGUGUGUGUGUGUGUGUGUGUGUGUGUGUGUGUGUGUGUGUGUGUGUGUGUGUGUGUGUGUGUGUGUGUGUGUGUGUGUGUGUGUGUGUGUGUGUGUGUGUGUGUGUGACAUCAACGGGGAUGAAGAUGAACUCUGUCUCUUCUGCAUCUAUUUAAUUCCUUCCCUAUUUCUAUUGGCACUCUUUAGACAGGGCAUUCGUUGCCUCACAAACCACAUGUAUACACCAAUCCACCAGGAUAUAUAAGUAUAUAUCUUAAUGUUUUUAGAACUCCUGCCUCCCAAGGAUGGUGAGCCGAGUGGUGAGUUAUGUUGCGGCAGGAACCACAUUGUUUGACAACGUGCUGUUUAUGAGGUACCAUCUUGUUUAUUUGGGUCCAUAUUUAGCACGACAGGAUAUUUUUUGCGUGCGGGUGUCAUAGCGGGAUAGUCGCUUCAAAAGGGCAAAACCCAUAACUGCAAUUUCUCCAGACUUUAAAGAAGGGCUGCUCGAUUAAGGAAAAAAUCAUAAUCACGAUUAUUUUUUGUCAAUAUUGGAAUCGUUAUUAUUCAAACAAUUAUUUUAGAGUUUGAAAACAUUGCAUUUAUUCAGCAAUUCAGAAGGACUUUGACAUUUCCCAGAAAAACUACUAAAAAUUUUCAAGUAGAAAAUGUCUAUAAAAUUCAAAAGUUAUGUUAUAUAAUAAAUUAAAAUUGAAGUUCUUAGGCGGGCAGAGCCAGGCUACCUACUCGUGGGCUCUUCCUGCCUUUUUAACCUCCAUAUACUUAAGAAAACCAAUGGGCCCCCCAGGUUUGAGGCUUUCAUCGGGACAUUGGUGGCCAAAGUCUCUGCGGGUCUUAAUUGAAUCGCUCCUGUCGCCGAAUCACCAACAACAAAACGGCCAAAUAGAGAAAAGGAUAGAAGGGUCCUAUUAUUAACAUGUCAGUGGGCUAGUGGUAGGAGGAGUGGUGCAGCCCUGGUUGGGGUAUUAAUUGGUGUGUUGGGGUAAUACAGUCCAUUCUGAACAAGUGACUAGUGGACAGGGGUGCUAGUGCAGACAAACCAACCCCCCCCUAGUACAUGCCCUGUAACGCUCACCUGUAUUCUGAUUGUCCUGGUGACCGCUGAACCUAUGUGCUUCUAGUGUGUACAGACUGAGAGGUGUGUGGGCAUUUGAAUGAGCUUAAGCUUGUGGUUAUACCAUUGCAGGCUGAUUGGUUGAUAUUAGGCAUGGGCUGCAUCGAUAACAUUGCAGAGCUGCCUGAACAUGGAUGGACAUGCUAAACGUGCUGCAGCAGAGUGUAAACAACAGGGCAACUGGAAUGUACUGUAGAUACCCUGUAGCUACCCUGUAGUGUCUUCUAGUGGGGUAGGCCCUUACUGUGUAUACUAUUGAAAUCAGGCCGGUUGGUUGGUUGUUCCAGUGUGUGGUAAGAGUCUCUUUGGGGUCAAAGCGUGUCGUUACAUUGGUUGGUUGGUAUAUACAUUCAGCCUGCCUGGACUCUUGUUAGUUGGUUUCACCCUGUUGAGCCAGGAAGUUUUCUGUGUGCGCUCAGAUGGCAGCACUCAUCCCUGGUGAUACUCGGGGAUUCUGUGUGCCCUGCACAGAUCCAGCCCAAGCUUAAAAUAACCCUUGAUUCGAUUUAACCCUGUGAGGGUCAGCACCGCCACUAAUGAUGACGCGCGCAAGCGGAAGCAGAGUUAUUGUGUAACCACCAGUUUGAUCCAGUCUAUACAUUGACUAAUGGUUCGCCCUUUGGUUGAUUAUUCCGUAUUUUUGCCCUGCUUUCAUUUCAUUUCUUGUUUAGGCUUUUAGCAUUGCUUAUUUGAGAAAGCAGUUUUUCUUUUCUAAUAUCCGUUUCCUGUCAACCGAAACUCUAUUUUACACACACACACGCGCACACACACACACACACACACACACACACACACACACACACACACACACACACACACACACACACACACACACACACACACACACACACACACACACU